RNAcentral lists this ribosomal RNA (505 nucleotides) under uncultured bacterium. RNAcentral describes it as "bacterial SSU rRNA". It matches the Rfam family "Bacterial small subunit ribosomal RNA", at positions 19 to 518 of the family's 1533-position model. The record is from RNAcentral.
CUGGCUCAGGAUGAACGCUAGCGGCAGGCUUAACACAUGCAAGUCGAGGGGCAACGCGAGUAGCAAUACUUGGCGGCGACCGGCGCAAGGGUGCGUAACGCGUGAGCAACAUGCCCGUAUCAGGGGGAUAAUCCAGGGAAACUUGGUCUAAUGCCCCAUAGUAAUUUUGUAAGGCAUCUUAUAAGAUUUAAAGCUUUGGUGGAUACGGAUUGGCUCGCGUGACAUUAGCUGGAUGGUAAGGUAACGGCUUACCAUGGCUAUGAUGUCUAGGGGUUCUGAGAGGAAGGUCCCCCCACACUGGAACUGAGACACGGUCCAGACUCCUACGGGAGGCAGCAGUGAGGAAUAUUGGACAAUGGAUGGAAUCUGAUCCAGCCAUGCCGCGUGAAGGAAGAAAGGUCCUAUGGAUUGUAAACUUCUUUUGUAUGGGAGCAAUAAGGCCUACGUGUAGGUUGAUGAGAGUACCAUACGAAUAAGCACCGGCUAACUCCGUGCCAGCAGCAGC